Drosophila miranda is the source of this 969-nucleotide long non-coding RNA. RefSeq lists it as uncharacterized. The record is from RefSeq and is a predicted model, not a curated record. NCBI's taxonomy places the organism in Eukaryota, Metazoa, Arthropoda, Insecta, Diptera, Drosophilidae. The transcript has 2 exons.
UUAAUCGGUUAAGAUUUGAAAGAAAAAUUGAAAGUCAAGACCAUGAUAUCGAUCUCGGGGCCAGGGAUACAUGCUGCCACCCUUUGACAGGCACAGGGUUACUUUGACCUGUUAACAGGCGCAGGGUUACUUUGACCUGUUAACGCGCAGAGAUGCUUUGGACAUCUGACAGGCCAUGUCAAAUUCCUUUUCCGGUUAAAGAUCUCGUCGAGAAACGAAUCGCAAACGAACCUUUUGUAAGAAGUGCCAUCAUAGGAAAAUUCCAUUGUGAAACAACUCGACACGGACAAUGAUCCGACGCAUACUGCCCACAAUGUUAAGCUCUGUUUGCUUUACAAUGUACAAAAUGAGCUUCGAUCGCCUCCUUAGUCCCCAGACCUGAAUCCCAUAGAACAUCUAUGGGAUUUACUCGAUCGCAGGAUUCGUAAGCACACCAUAAGCUCUAAAAACAUGUUGAAGGAAGUUAUCCUGGAGGAAUGGCGCAAAAUAACUGCCGAGGACACCAGGAAUCUGGUUGACUCAAUGCCUAGACGUCUGGCAGAUGUUUUAAAACGAUAUUAAGAUCCCACAAAAUAUUAACAACUUAGAAUUUUAGUCGUGUACGCAGAAUUGUUAGAGUGUACGCAGACUUUUGAGGUGUCAAAUUUGUCUUGUUUUUUUUAAUGAUUUUUUUUUCCUAUUAAGUUUGUUUUAUUGAAUAAAAAACAAAUGUAGAUAGGUUUAGAAAUAAGCAAAGAAUAUUAUAAAAAAAUCGUUGCCCAAAGUGCCUUAUAUUAGAAGUUAUCCGCAACUAAACAUGAAAAUGUAGUUCGUUUUUUAAGUGUACGCAGAGAUAUGCGAGCAAGUGUAUACUAAAGUUACAACGAAAAAACAAAAUGUUCACGGAAAAAAGUGUACUAUAGUCUCAAAGUAAUCUUAAUAUUAAUACUUUUUAUACUUUUAAUAUUUGGUUGGUCCACCAUUGGCAUC